This is a long non-coding RNA of Corapipo altera (White-ruffed manakin), 321 nucleotides long. RefSeq lists it as uncharacterized. Lineage: Eukaryota; Metazoa; Chordata; Aves; Passeriformes; Pipridae. The record is from RefSeq and is a predicted model, not a curated record. The transcript is spliced from 3 exons.
GUGCGUUGGCUGGAGGGGAUGUCUGGAGGAGCUGGGAAGCAACCAGAUGAUUGACAGCGAUUCAGGCGAGACUCGACAUGGAGGGGACAGGCGAACAGACCUGCUUCUUCCUUUGUGUUGCCAGUCAGGUCCUCCCUCUGCAGUCUUACACAGGAAGAAGAUUUAUAACAGCUGCAUGCAAUGCCAGUGUCUCAAAGAGACAGUAUCACGCCAUGUGGAGGAUUUUCAUAUGGGGUUUAACUUUGCUCCACUGAAUUGGAAAGUUGUAUGUAGAUUUCUCUAAUGGGAUAGAGAACUUUCACUCCAGAUGGAAUAAUCAGG